RNAcentral lists this transfer RNA (87 nucleotides) under Acidimicrobiales bacterium. RNAcentral's name for it is "tRNA-Ser". It matches the Rfam family "tRNA". From Rfam's summary of the family: Transfer RNA (tRNA) molecules are approximately 80 nucleotides in length. Their secondary structure includes four short double-helical elements and three loops (D, anti-codon, and T loops). The record is from RNAcentral. RNAcentral also lists the same sequence under 1 other name. Lineage: Bacteria; Bacillati; Actinomycetota; Acidimicrobiia; Acidimicrobiales.
GGAGAGGUGCCGGAGUCUGGCUGAUCGGGCUUCCCUGCUAAGGAAGUGUGCCUACGGGUACCGUGGGUUCGAAUCCCACCCUCUCCG